This 540-nucleotide ribosomal RNA is filed under the name uncultured bacterium. RNAcentral describes it as "bacterial SSU rRNA". It matches the Rfam family "Bacterial small subunit ribosomal RNA", at positions 777 to 1315 of the family's 1533-position model. The record is from RNAcentral.
AAUAGAUACCCCGGUAGUCCACGCCGUAAACGUUGGGCGCUAGGUGUGGGGGCCAUUCCACGGUCUCCGUGCCGCAGCUAACGCAUUAAGCGCCCCGCCUGGGGAGUACGGCCGCAAGGCUAAAACUCAAAGGAAUUGACGGGGGCCCGCACAAGCGGCGGAGCAUGUUGCUUAAUUCGAUGCAACGCGAAGAACCUUACCAAGGCUUGACAUAUACGAGAACGGGCCAGAAAUGGUCAACUCUUUGGACACUCGUAAACAGGUGGUGCAUGGUUGUCGUCAGCUCGUGUCGUGAGAUGUUGGGUUAAGUCCCGCAACGAGCGCAACCCUCGUUCUAUGUUGCCAGCACGUAAUGGUGGGAACUCAUGGGAUACUGCCGGGGUCAACUCGGAGGAAGGUGGGGAUGACGUCAAAUCAUCAUGCCCCUUAUGUCUUGGGCUUCACGCAUGCUACAAUGGCCGGUACAAAGGGCUGCAAUACCGUAAGGUGGAGCGAAUCCCAAAAAGCCGGUCCCAGUUCGGAUUGAGGUCUGCAACUCGA